RNAcentral lists this long non-coding RNA (479 nucleotides) under Fukomys damarensis (Damara mole-rat). RNAcentral describes it as "lncRNA (ENSFDAG00000021805.1)". The record is from RNAcentral. Lineage: Eukaryota; Metazoa; Chordata; Mammalia; Rodentia; Bathyergidae.
GAGAAAGUGACUUGAUCGAUGUGAAGCUGUAGCUUCUCCACAGACUGCAGAUCUGAGGAGGAGUAGCUGACCCACAGCUUCCUGCAGCCCCCAUCCCCAGCUUGUCCAGGUCCAGGCCAGGAGACACCAACCAAGCCUGCUCUGAGACAUGAGGGAUGAACACAUUGUGGGAAAAGGAAGGAGGGUGAUUUGGGCUCUGACAUUAUUUGCUAAAGUCUGCACGGUAACAUUUGACUUCUCAUCUCGGACAUCAUAAUCAAUCUCUUUCCACUCUCCUGUUGGCCCACAACAAAUACGUAUCCAAAUACUUCCAUCAUUAUGAGCCGGGAAACAAUGCCCAACUGCUGAAACAUUAUCUACAAACCGAGAUUUUGUUUCCCAAAGACUUGAGACCAUUUGAUGACACUUCUAGACAAAAUCAUAUCUUCAUUCUCGUAGGUGAAGGAAAAAUAAAACCAGGUGCACAAAAAACUUCCUGA